UAGGAAGGACAACCCUGGACGUUUUAGAAAAUGAAUUUAAAUACACUGAUUUUAUAAAGUUAUUUGAACCUCCCAUAGUCAUAGCUAGUUUUACAUAGGAUGUUUGGAGUAAAAACCUGGAAAGGAACACCAGCCUCCUGAGAUAGGUCUAAAAGAUUCAUGAGCCAUCCUUCAUGUCCCAGGAAGAUGUUGCUAUAGCUUUCAAAUACCUGUUGUUGUUGUAGUUUCCAAUUUAGGUAAAUAUGACGACUGGUUACAUGCAGCUCUCUUUAUUAUCGCCACCAGUUUUGACUCCUCCUUUGCCUGGAGCAAUCAGAUGCCUAUUUCCUAAUAUCAGUAAAGUAUUACCUAACUUAUUUACUCAAACUGAGCUAUCUGUUGACUCCCUAGAGCACUACUCAUUGGCCAAAAUACACUUGUAGGGAGUAUUUAUUUCUCAGCAGCACAGCAUUCCCUGUCAUCCAGGCAGUUAUAUCAGAAGUGGAUUUUGCUUCAUCAGUUGACGUGCAACGGGCAAGAAUAAGGAAAACACAUGACAUUUUUUUCUUUAUACAAGUACUUUCUCCUAUAUUCACUAAGGAGAUACAAACAAUAUAUGACUCACCAGUCCCGAGAUCCUAUAUAAAAAUGCAUCCCACACUCU
Molecule: long non-coding RNA, 643 nt
Organism: Myotis davidii
Lineage: Eukaryota; Metazoa; Chordata; Mammalia; Chiroptera; Vespertilionidae
Exons: 2
Source: RefSeq, a predicted model, not a curated record